AUAAUAAUAAUAAUAAUAAUAAUAAUAAUAAUAAUAAUAAUAAUAAUAAUAAUAAUAAUAAUAUAAAGUUGUUGUCAUUCGAGGAGAAAAAGAUACGCUGGUGCUAGCAACAGGAAUUAAGGAAGCAGAACCCGGCUGGCUUUGGAACAAUCAUUGAAUUUCGCCUAGUGCUAUACUCAAUAACAUAUAUAUGUUUGAUUAAUUUACCAUAAAGGGCAGAUGGGAUACGUUGAUAUGCAGGAAUAAAAUGAUUCAAUAUUUACUUGUUGACGCAUGAUAGGGAUCUAAAAAUAGGCAAACAAUAUUGAAGUAACACAUAGGCUAUGCUGGUCCUUUGUUCAUAUAUCGUUGGGUGCCGCUCGUGGCGAUUUUCUGGAGAUAUCACGAGUUAUCCUUUUCGUGAUUUGACAUCAUUCUCAAUGCCUUGAAGUGAGCGUUCUAUAAUCACAAACACAAAUACACGCACAUAAUUGGCGUAAUACUUUCCGUGGAACGGUGUUUUCAUAACACGAAAAUGCAAUAAUAGAACAGAAACCGAAACAGACAAACUGCCGUCUAAGAAUGGCGAUGGUCGUCAACGUAUGGCACUCUGAUUAAUGUUAUGGGGCACUGUUAUUUAGUUUGAGAAAAAUGAUGGUUAAUCCGGUUAAUCUUUUGCGCAAAGCCAAAAGUCGGUAAGAAAUAAUAUAUAAAAAUUACCUGUUGCUAGAUGCACUUUGCCUAGGGGGCUACGUGUCGCUGUGUUUUUGGCUUUGGGUGGUUAUGGCGGACGUAGGCGAAGCACGUUGUUUCUGUGUGAUCAAUUUCCUUUUUCAGCAAAACCUUUCUUGACUGCACAACGUAUUUUAAUCUGCGUGCAGUGUAUGAACUCGUGAUAUAUGCGGACAAAGUGGAGGUAGUUACUACAGUGUCAAGAAGUUGCACUUCCAUGAAGGAUCGGUGGACGAUUUUAGCUCAACGGCUGUUUAUGCCUGCUGGCGAAGAAACGAUGGACUGUUGUCCCGCCAAGGUGCCGAUAAUGAAAGAAAACGUACCUUAUCAAGACAGUGUGACGUCCACAAGCAAGUGCCACAGAUUUUUUAUGCUCAUGACACGGAUGCAGCUCUGUGGUAGGACUACGCUUUAAUACUUUUUAUUUUCGUUGGGAAACGGUGUGAAUGGCAUUUUAUUUCUCACUACUUCUCACGUGUACACAGACAAGCAUGACAGUGUGAGUUUAAAAUGCAUGAAGUCAAAGCAUGGAUCUCUGUUAAUUUUAUUACUCCCAGUCUGCAUUUGUCAAUGUUCUGUUUUUUCUUUUUUUGUAGGAUGUUACUGUGGAGCAAAGUCCAUGUUCAUAAAUGCAUCUACUGCUUACGUUAGUUACUGUUAAAGCUGCUGAUACCACACGACAAAUACUGUGGCAUGAACAAGGAAAUUUACAACUCAGGCAUUGCUGUACAACCAAUUGGAGAGGUGCACCAUACUGAGAUCUCGUUUGCUUUGUCCAAGUAAACAACACUUAGAUAUAUAGAAUACGAAGCUUGUGCAAUGCAUGUUCUACACUGCAGCAGUGGGAGCCUGACAAAAGAGCAGCGGUGCAGCGUAGUUGGCAUGCUUAAGACUGAACUUAUAGAACGGACCAAAAGUUGUAAGGCAUGUUGGUCAGUAUACUUAUUCAUCAUGGGCAGUCUGAUAAAGGCACAGCAUUCCACUAGCAGCCAACGUGCCAAACCAAACCUUUUUCGUUCAAGAUUUUAUGCCAGUGCUAGAAAAACGGCUCUGGAAUAAAAGAUACUGGUUCGUAUCUGUUCAGUGCUAAUGUCAUUAUAGGCACUAUCAACAGCAUUGUCUGUAAACUGUUUUCAGAUUGCCCUGUGCCUAUUGGCACAACCAGAACGAACACAACAAUCCGAAAACAGUUUACAGACAGUGCUGUUGAUAGUGCCUACAGCACCAUUAGCACUGGACCAAUAUGAACCGCCAUCUUUUAUUCCAGAGCUGUCUUUCUAGUAUUCGUACAAAAUCUUGAACGAAAAAGUUUCGGUUUGUCACAUUGGCGGCUACUGUAGCUGUGUCUUCAUCACAUUACUUAUCGUGAAUAAGUACAAUGACGAAUAUGGCCUACAGCUUUUGUUCCAUUUUAUAAGUUGUUGUCCCAACCAUGCCAACUACCUUGCUGCUCUUUUGUCAGGCUCCCACUGCUGCAGUGUACAACAUGCAUUACACGAGCUUCUUAUUCCAUGUGUUCAAGAGCUGUUUACUUCCACAUAGCUGACAAGAUAUCAGUGUAGUGCAGUUCUCCAAUGGCAGUACCCCAAUGUCUGAGUUGUAGAUUUCAUUGUUCGUGCCACGGUAUAGUAUAUUUAUUGCAGUGUAUGUGAAGCCUGCCGGUACCUGUAUCAGGCUGGUUUGAAAAAUUCUGCAGCGAGAAGUGGCAAGAACAGUGCGGUCACCUAGGGAGCUCCACGGGCAGAUCAUGACUGCAAAGCGGCGCCAGCAGUUGCUGCUGUCACGAGUUGCUUUCAGGAGUACACUGCCACGAAGCCCAGCCGCAAAGGCAGAAGUCUGACUGAGUGAAUUGAUCCAAUUAACGGCUACUUGGCUGACUUCCUAAAAAGGCUCAAACACUCACGUCUCAUCCCAUCAUCUUGCGGACUGCCACACAUACCCAUGCCAUACAGCAAGGUCGGGGGCCAUACAGGCUAUGGACUCCAUAGGAGGCCAUACAGUGUACGGACUGCCAUAGGAGGCCAUUCAGUGUACGGACUGCCA
Molecule: long non-coding RNA, 2754 nt
Organism: Ornithodoros turicata
Lineage: Eukaryota; Metazoa; Arthropoda; Arachnida; Ixodida; Argasidae
Exons: 4
Source: RefSeq, a predicted model, not a curated record